GACGAACGCUGGCGGCGUGCCUAAUACAUGCAAGUCGAGCGCAGGAAACUGACGGAACUCUUCGGAGGGAAGGCAGCGGAAUGAGCGGCGGACGGGUGAGUAACACGUAAGGAACCUGCCUCAAGGAUUGGGAUAACUCCGAGAAAUCGGAGCUAAUACCGGAUAGUUCAACGGACCGCAUGGUCCGCUGAUGAAAGGCGCUCCGGCGUCAUCUUGAGAUGGCCUUGCGGUGCAUUAGCUAGUUGGUGGGGUAACGGCCCACCAAGGCGACGAUGCGUGGGCGACCUGAGAGGGUGAUCGGCCAAACUGGGACUGAGACACGGCCCAGACUCCUACGGGAGGCAGCAGUAGGGAAUCUUCCACAAUGGACGAAAGUCUGAUGGAGCAACGCCGCGUGAGUGAUGAAGGUUUUCGGAUCGUAAAACUCUGUUGUAAGGGAAGAACACGUACGAGAGGAAAUGCUCGUACCUUGACGGUACCUUACGAGAAAGCCACGGCUAACUACGUGCCAGCAGCCGCCGUAA
RNAcentral lists this ribosomal RNA (524 nucleotides) under uncultured bacterium. RNAcentral describes it as "partial 16S ribosomal RNA". It matches the Rfam family "Bacterial small subunit ribosomal RNA", at positions 28 to 523 of the family's 1533-position model. The record is from RNAcentral.